CCUACGGGCGGCAGCAGUGAGGAAUAUUGGUCAAUGGGCGGGAGCCUGAACCAGCCAAGUCGCGUGAGGGAAGACGGUCCUAUGGAUUGUAAACCUCUUUAGGCGGGGAGCAAUGCCGGGCACGCGUGCCCGGAGGGAGAGUACCCGCAGAAUAAGCAUCGGCUAACUCCGUGCCAGCAGCCGCGGUAAUACGGAGGAUGCGAGCGUUAUCCGGAUUUAUUGGGUUUAAAGGGUGCGUAGGCGGAUUUUUAAGUCAGCGGUAAAAUGUCCGGGCUCAACCCGGGCCGGCCGUUGAAACUGGGGAUCUUGAGUGAAGUAGAGGUUGGCGGAAUUCCGAGUGUAGCGGUGAAAUGCGUAGAUAUUCGGAGGAACACCGGUGGCGAAGGCGGCCAACUGGGCUUUAACUGACGCUGAGGCUCGAAAGUGUGGGGAGCAAACAGGAUUAGAUACCCCUGUAGUC
This 460-nucleotide ribosomal RNA is filed under the name uncultured bacterium. RNAcentral describes it as "partial 16S ribosomal RNA". It matches the Rfam family "Bacterial small subunit ribosomal RNA", at positions 338 to 795 of the family's 1533-position model. The record is from RNAcentral.